Molecule: ribosomal RNA, 253 nt
Filed under: uncultured bacterium
Lineage: Bacteria
Description: partial 16S ribosomal RNA
Rfam family: Bacterial small subunit ribosomal RNA
Source: RNAcentral
UACGAAGGUGGCAAGCGUUACUCGGAAUUACUAGGCGUAAAGGGCAGGUAGGCGGUUUGAUAAGUCUGUUGUGAAAGCUCCCGGCUUAACUGGGAGAGGUCAACAGAUACUGUCGAACUUGAGUAUGGGAGAGGGUACUGGAAUUCCUGGUGUAGCGGUGAAAUGCGCAGAGAUCAGGAGGAACACCGAUGGCGAAAGCAGGUACCUGGACCAUUACUGACGCUCAGCUGCGAAAGCUAGGGGAGCAAACAGG